This 253-nucleotide ribosomal RNA is filed under the name uncultured bacterium. RNAcentral describes it as "partial 16S ribosomal RNA". It matches the Rfam family "Bacterial small subunit ribosomal RNA", at positions 524 to 776 of the family's 1533-position model. The record is from RNAcentral.
GACAGAGGGGGCAAGCGUUGCUCGGAAUCACUGGGCGUAAAGGGCGCGUAGGCGGGAUGGCAAGUCGGUCGUGAAAUCCUUCGGCUCAACCGAAGAACGUCGGCCGAUACUGCCGUUCUUGAGGGAUGCAGAGGAGAUUGGAAUUCCCGGUGUAGAGGUGAAAUUCGUAGAUAUCGGGAGGAACACCAGUGGCGAAGGCGGAGACCUGGGCCGAUACUGACGCUGAGGUGCGAAAGCGUGGGGAGCAAACAGG